UGAAGUCACUGAAAAGGAAGUAGAGAC
This 27-nucleotide non-coding RNA is filed under the name Cricetulus griseus (Chinese hamster). Lineage: Eukaryota; Metazoa; Chordata; Mammalia; Rodentia; Cricetidae. The record is from RNAcentral.